UCUCCGUAGGUGAACCUGCGGAGGGAUCAUUACUGAGUGAGGGUCUCCAGGCCCGACCUCCAACCCUUUUGUGAACCACCUCGUUGCUUCGGGGGCAACCCUGCCGUUCGCGGCGUGGGGCCCCCGGAGCCCAUCAAACCCUGCGUAACUUAAUCGUCGGAGUUUAAACAAAUCAAUCAAAACUUUCAACAACGGAUCUCUUGGUUCUGGCAUCGAUGAAGAACGCAGC
RNAcentral lists this unclassified non-coding RNA (229 nucleotides) under uncultured fungus. Its description in RNAcentral is "sequence contains ITS1, 5.8S rRNA gene". The stretch from base 181 to 229 matches the Rfam family "5.8S ribosomal RNA", at positions 1 to 49 of the family's 154-position model. Lineage: Eukaryota; Fungi. The record is from RNAcentral.